RNAcentral lists this ribosomal RNA (492 nucleotides) under uncultured bacterium. RNAcentral describes it as "partial 16S ribosomal RNA". It matches the Rfam family "Bacterial small subunit ribosomal RNA", at positions 29 to 507 of the family's 1533-position model. The record is from RNAcentral.
AGUGAACGCUGGCGGUAGGCCUAACACAUGCAAGUCGAACGGCAGCACAGUAAGAGCUUGCUCUUACGGGUGGCGAGUGGCGGACGGGUGAGGAAUACACCGGAACCUACUUUUUCGUGGGGGAUAACGUAGGGAAACUUACGCUAAUACCGCAUACGACCUACGGGUGAAAGCAGGGGAUCUUCUGACCUUGCGCGAUUGAAUGAGCCGAUGUCGGAUUAGCUAGUUGGCGGGGUAAAGGCCCACCAAGGCGACGAUCCGUAGCCGGUCUGAGAGGAUGAUCAGCCACACUAGAACUGAGACACGGUCCAGACUCCUACGGGAGGCAGCAGUGGGGAAUAUUGGACAAUGGGCGCAAGCCUGAUCCAGCCAUACCGCGUGGGUGAAGAAGGCCUUCGGGUUGUAAAGCCCUUUUGUUGGGAAAGAAAAGCAGCAGGUUAAUACCCCGCUGUUCUGACGGUACCCAAAGAAUAAGCACCGGCUAACUUCGUG